Molecule: ribosomal RNA, 1246 nt
Filed under: Staphylococcus aureus
Lineage: Bacteria; Bacillati; Bacillota; Bacilli; Caryophanales; Staphylococcaceae
Description: partial 23S ribosomal RNA
Rfam family: Bacterial large subunit ribosomal RNA
Source: RNAcentral
GGAUGAACUGAGGGUAGCGGAGAAAUUCCAAUCGAACCUGGAGAUAGCUGGUUCUCUCCGAAAUAGCUUUAGGGCUAGCCUCAAGUGAUGAUUAUUGGAGGUAGAGCACUGUUUGGACGAGGGGCCCCUCUCGGGUUACCGAAUUCAGACAAACUCCGAAUGCCAAUUAAUUUAACUUGGGAGUCAGAACAUGGGUGAUAAGGUCCGUGUUCGAAAGGGAAACAGCCCAGACCACCAGCUAAGGUCCCAAAAUAUAUGUUAAGUGGAAAAGGAUGUGGCGUUGCCCAGACAACUAGGAUGUUGGCUUAGAAGCAGCCAUCAUUUAAAGAGUGCGUAAUAGCUCACUAGUCGAGUGACACUGCGCCGAAAAUGUACCGGGGCUAAACAUAUUACCGAAGCUGUGGAUUGUCCUUUGGACAAUGGUAGGAGAGCGUUCUAAGGGCGUUGAAGCAUGAUCGUAAGGACAUGUGGAGCGCUUAGAAGUGAGAAUGCCGGUGUGAGUAGCGAAAGACGGGUGAGAAUCCCGUCCACCGAUUGACUAAGGUUUCCAGAGGAAGGCUCGUCCGCUCUGGGUUAGUCGGGUCCUAAGCUGAGGCCGACAGGCGUAGGCGAUGGAUAACAGGUUGAUAUUCCUGUACCACCUAUAAUCGUUUUAAUCGAUGGGGGGACGCAGUAGGAUAGGCGAAGCGUGCGAUUGGAUUGCACGUCUAAGCAGUAAGGCUGAGUAUUAGGCAAAUCCGGUACUCAUUAAGGCUGAGCUGUGAUGGGGAGAAGACAUUGUGUCUUCGAGUCGUUGAUUUCACACUGCCGAGAAAAGCCUCUAGAUAGAAAAUAGGUGCCCGUACCGCAAACCGACACAGGUAGUCAAGAUGAGAAUUCUAAGGUGAGCGAGCGAACUCUCGUUAAGGAACUCGGCAAAAUGACCCCGUAACUUCGGGAGAAGGGGUGCUCUUUAGGGUUAACGCCCAGAAGAGCCGCAGUGAAUAGGCCCAAGCGACUGUUUAUCAAAAACACAGGUCUCUGCUAAACCGUAAGGUGAUGUAUAGGGGCUGACGCCUGCCCGGUGCUGGAAGGUUAAGAGGAGUGGUUAGCUUCUGCGAAGCUACGAAUCGAAGCCCCAGUAAACGGCGGCCGUAACUAUAACGGUCCUAAGGUAGCGAAAUUCCUUGUCGGGUAAGUUCCGACCCGCACGAAAGGCGUAACGAUUUGGGCACUGUCUCAACGAGAGACUCGGUGAAAUCAUAGU